Molecule: ribosomal RNA, 253 nt
Filed under: uncultured bacterium
Lineage: Bacteria
Description: partial 16S ribosomal RNA
Rfam family: Bacterial small subunit ribosomal RNA
Source: RNAcentral
UACGUAGGGCGCAAGCGUUGUCCGGAAUUAUUGGGCGUAAAGAGCUCGUAGGCGGUUUGUCGCGUCUGCUGUGAAAACUCGAGGCUCAACCUCGGGCUUGCAGUGGGUACGGGCAGACUAGAGUGCGGUAGGGGUGACUGGAAUUCCUGGUGUAGCGGUGGAAUGCGCAGAUAUCAGGAGGAACACCGAUGGCGAAGGCAGGUCACUGGGGCGCAACUGACGCUGAGGAGCGAAAGCAUGGGGAGCGAACAGG